RNAcentral lists this ribosomal RNA (253 nucleotides) under uncultured bacterium. RNAcentral describes it as "partial 16S ribosomal RNA". It matches the Rfam family "Bacterial small subunit ribosomal RNA", at positions 524 to 776 of the family's 1533-position model. The record is from RNAcentral.
UACGAAGGGGGCUAGCGUUGUUCGGAUUUACUGGGCGUAAAGCGCACGUAGGCGGAUCGUUAAGUCGGGGGUGAAAUCCUGGAGCUCAACUCCAGAACUGCCUUCGAUACUGGCGAUCUUGAGUCCGGAAGAGGUGAGUGGAACUCCGAGUGUAGAGGUGAAAUUCGUAGAUAUUCGGAAGAACACCAGUGGCGAAGGCGGCUCACUGGCCCGGUACUGACGCUCAGGUGCGAAAGCGUGGGGAGCAAACAGG